UCCUUUAUCACCGAGUGCUUGCACUCACCGAUACCGAUUUGAGUGGCGAACGGGUGAGUAACACGUGGGCAACCUGCCCAAAAGAGGGGGAUAACACUUGGAAACAGGUGCUAAUACCGCAUAACCAUAGUUACCGCAUGGUAACUAUGUAAAAGGUGGCUAUGCUACCGCUUUUGGAUGGGCCCGCGGCGCAUUAGCUAGUUGGUGGGGUAAAGGCUUACCAAGGCAAUGAUGCGUAGCCGAACUGAGAGGUUGAUCGGCCACAUUGGGACUGAGACACGGCCCAAACUCCUACGGGAGGCAGCAGUAGGGAAUCUUCCACAAUGGGCGAAAGCCUGAUGGAGCAACGCCGCGUGGGUGAAGAAGGUCUUCGGAUCGUAAAACCCUGUUGUUAGAGAAGAAAGUGCGUGAGAGUAACUGUUCACGUUUCGACGGUAUCUAACCAGAAAGCCACGGCUAACUACGUGCCAGCAGCCGCGGUAAUACGUAGGUGGCAAGCGUUAUCCGGAUUUAUUGGGCGUAAAGGGAACGCAGGCGGUCUUUUAAGUCUGAUGUGAAAGCCUUCGGCUUAACCGGAGUAGUGCAUUGGAAACUGGGAGACUUGAGUGCAGAAGAGGAGAGUGGAACUCCAUGUGUAGCGGUGAAAUGCGCAUAUAUAUGGAAGAACACCAGUGGCGAAAGCGGCUCUCUGGUCUGUAACUGACGCUGAGGUUCGAAAGCGUGGGU
This 726-nucleotide ribosomal RNA is filed under the name uncultured bacterium. Its description in RNAcentral is "bacterial SSU rRNA". It matches the Rfam family "Bacterial small subunit ribosomal RNA", at positions 62 to 766 of the family's 1533-position model. The record is from RNAcentral.